CCUACGGGUGGCAGCAGUGAGGAAUAUUGGUCAAUGGCCGAGAGGCUGAACCAGCCAAGUCGCGUGAGGGAAGACGGCCCUACGGGUUGUCAACCUCUUUUGUCGGGGAGCCAAGCGAAUCACGUGUGGUUCAUUGAGAGUACCCGAAGAAAUCGCCUCGGCUAACUCCGGGCAAGCAGCCGCGGUAAUACGGAGGAUGCGAGCGUUAUCCGGAUUUAUUGGGUUUAAAGGGUGCGCAGGCGGAGGUGCAAGUCAGCGGUCAAAUUGCGGGGCUCAACCCCGUACUGCCGUUGAAACUGCAUCCCUUGAGUGCGCGAGAAGUAUGCGGAAUGCGUGGUGUAGCGGUGAAAUGCAUAGAUAGCACGCAGAACUCCGAUUGCGAAGGCAGCAUACCGGCGCGCAACUGACGCUCAUGCACGAAAGCGUGGGUAUCGAACAGGAGUAGAUACCCCUGUAGUC
Molecule: ribosomal RNA, 459 nt
Filed under: uncultured bacterium
Lineage: Bacteria
Description: partial 16S ribosomal RNA
Rfam family: Bacterial small subunit ribosomal RNA
Source: RNAcentral